Molecule: non-coding RNA, 94 nt
Organism: Mycena capillaripes
Lineage: Eukaryota; Fungi; Basidiomycota; Agaricomycetes; Agaricales; Mycenaceae
Source: the annotation of a GenBank genome assembly
GCCGUCGUAGGCCAUGGUGGUCGCCUCGCAUGAUUCGGACUGUGACACCAAAAUUCGUACAGAUGAAGCGGGGGUUCGAUUCCCCCCGAUGGCA